Stegastes partitus (bicolor damselfish) is the source of this 1601-nucleotide long non-coding RNA. RefSeq lists it as uncharacterized. NCBI's taxonomy places the organism in Eukaryota, Metazoa, Chordata, Actinopteri, Pomacentridae. The transcript has 2 exons. The record is from RefSeq and is a predicted model, not a curated record.
AGGCAGACCGAGAGGGAGGCACACCGGGCUGCUGGCAGGACACGAUGCACAUACGGAGCGUUGAUGCAGACAGGAGAGCCGGCUUUAUUCAGGCAUUUAUUAAAGCUUCUGUGACGUCUGCGCUCCAUCAAGCAGCAGAGAAGAAAACCCAACAUGGCAGUUGAAGUGAUUCAUGUAUCAAAGCGUCCAGUCUGAGCAGACCCUGUGGCCACUAUAAAGCCAAACCAAAGUGCUGCAAUACAUUCAGAGGAGCCACCAGAUGAGCUGUUUCCUCUGACAGAAGACUUGCUGGACCGACUGCAGCUUCCUGAUUCAGCUCCUCUCUUUUCGAACUCUCUCUCUUCGUGAUUUUUUUCUGCAAAAAGCGACUACUGUAAAUAUUUACAUGCCGUGUCUGGCAGCUGUGAGAGACACAGAACACCUUGAGGAAGACCGGUUAUGACUCUGCUACUUCUGGUUACCCUCGCCGAGCCCUGCAGGCAGGCCUGGAAGUGAGAGUUCGAUGAGCAGCUGCACUUCUUGUUUUGUGGAACUUUGUGGUUCACCUCGCUUUACCCCCAGCAUGUCUCUGUCUUUUUAACGUUUUUUUUUUUUAACUUCCUUUUAUUGAAGAAACAACUCAUACACAUAUUCCAGAGCAAAAACGUACUCAUUUACAUUUACCGAGGCAGUGCUGGAGUCUAACUGUAAAACUCAGAUUUCCCUUUGAGACCUAACAAAAUAGAUAAAUGCUGAAAUACAUUCAACCCUUCUGCAAUUAUUUUGCAUCACCCUUUAGUAAUAUUAAUAUUAAUGCCCGUUAUUUAUUUAUUCUCCUCAGUGAAUAAACAUGAAGGGAAAAAAAUACACAGUGCACUUACAAGAUAGAGCAAACGCAGUGCAACCAAGCACGCAAAUAAAAAUGAAAAAAUCUUAAAGAAAAGUACGAAUAUAGGAAUAAAAACUGAUUAAAGUCAAGUUUAGUCUCUAAAUUGUCACUAAAUUGCAAUUUUUGUCUAAUUUUUGCAGCUGCAUGUGCUUAUAAAAUGUGUAAAACUCCAGAAACUAUACAUGUCAUAAUUUGAAAAUAUAAUACCCCAUUCCUUCUGCAUCAUAUUACUAGUAAUCUGCAUCCCGGUGCAUGUAAACACAUUAAUGAAUAAGUGAGUGCAUUACUGAUGAUGUAUCUUACUCCUCACCUGUGAAGUCUGCAGGUGAAUGAGUGAGGAUGAGCAUAUCUACUGACCCCUACAUGUAGAAUAACUGUGUCUCCCUGUGUAAUCUGUCUCCUGACCCGUUUGCACACAACAUGGGCUGCGCUAUGUGUUCGCAGCUGGUUGACAUGUGGACCGUGAGGGUGAGCAGGACCGGCCGCAGGGCCAUGGAGCUCACCGCCUACCCACAGAUGCUCCAGGGAGGCUACCACAGAGUGACGGGCCUCCACUACAUGUCCUCCUUCUCCGACGCCGAGGACUGCUGUGAUGACACCAGCUCGGGCAGUUCGCUCACUCUGGACUGGCAGACACAAGCCAAUGAUGGCUGACAGCUGACCACGAGGCGUUGUGAUGCAAACAUGUAACUAAACAUGAUGAAUUACAGUAAAUGUGGUUAUAUCUCUUCUU